RNAcentral lists this ribosomal RNA (758 nucleotides) under uncultured Aestuariibacter sp. RNAcentral describes it as "bacterial SSU rRNA". It matches the Rfam family "Bacterial small subunit ribosomal RNA", at positions 113 to 873 of the family's 1533-position model. Lineage: Bacteria; Pseudomonadati; Pseudomonadota; Gammaproteobacteria; Alteromonadales; Alteromonadaceae. The record is from RNAcentral.
AUGCUUGGGAACUUGCCUUUAGGUGGGGGAUAACAGUUGGAAACGACUGCUAAUACCGCAUAAUGUCUACGGACCAAAGGGGGCUUCGGCUCCCGCCUUGAGAGAGGCCCAAGUGAGAUUAGCUAGUUGGUGGGGUAAAGGCCUACCAAGGCAACGAUCUCUAGCUGUUCUGAGAGGAAGAUCAGCCACACUGGGACUGAGACACGGCCCAGACUCCUACGGGAGGCAGCAGUGGGGAAUAUUGCACAAUGGGGGAAACCCUGAUGCAGCCAUGCCGCGUGUGUGAAGAAGGCCUUCGGGUUGUAAAGCACUUUCAGUUGUGAGGAAAGGUUGGUAGUUAAUACCUGCCAGCUGUGACGUUAACAACAGAAGAAGCACCGGCUAACUCCGUGCCAGCAGCCGCGGUAAUACGGAGGGUGCGAGCGUUAAUCGGAAUUACUGGGCGUAAAGCGCACGCAGGCGGCUUGUUAAGCUAGAGGUGAAAGCCCCGCGCUCAACGUGGGAACUGCCUUUAGAACUGGCAGGCUAGAGUCUUGGAGAGGGGAGUGGAAUUCCAGGUGUAGCGGUGAAAUGCGUAGAUAUCUGGAGGAACAUCAGUGGCGAAGGCGGCUCCCUGGCCAAAGACUGACGCUCAUGUGCGAAAGUGUGGGUAGCGAACAGGAUUAGAUACCCUGGUAGUCCACACCGUAAACGCUGUCUACUAGCUGUUUGUGUAUUUAAUACGUGAGUAGCGAAGCUAACGCGCUAAGUAGACCGCC